ACACUCCUGCGGGAGGCAGCAGUGGGGAAUAUUGCACAAUGGGCGCAAGCCUGAUGCAGCGACGCCGCGUGGGGGAUGAAGGCCUUCGGGUUGUAAACUCCUUUCGCUAGGGACGAAGCUUUUUUGUGACGGUACCUAGAUAAGAAGCACCGGCUAACUACGUGCCAGCAGCCGCGGUAAUACGUAGGGUGCGAGCGUUGUCCGGAAUUACUGGGCGUAAAGGGCUCGUAGGUGGUUUGUCGCGUCGUCUGUGAAAUUCUGGGGCUUAACUCCGGGCGUGCAGGCGAUACGGGCAUAACUUGAGUGCUGUAGGGGUAACUGGAAUUCCUGGUGUAGCGGUGAAAUGCGCAGAUAUCAGGAGGAACACCGAUGGCGAAGGCAGGUUACUGGGCAGUUACUGACGCUGAGGAGCGAAAGCAUGGGUAGCGAACAGGAUUAGAUACCCCUGUAGUCCCAUG
Molecule: ribosomal RNA, 458 nt
Filed under: uncultured organism
Description: partial 16S ribosomal RNA
Rfam family: Bacterial small subunit ribosomal RNA
Source: RNAcentral